Molecule: ribosomal RNA, 764 nt
Filed under: uncultured archaeon
Lineage: Archaea
Description: bacterial SSU rRNA
Rfam family: Archaeal small subunit ribosomal RNA
Source: RNAcentral
GUGUCGAUUAAGCCAUGCGAGUUAAAUGUUCUUCGUGAACAUAGCAGACUGCUCAGUAACACGUGGAUAACCUGCCCUUAGGACUGGCAUAACCCCGGGAAACUGGGGAUAAUUCCGGAUAGAUCAUAAAUGCUGGAAUGCUUUAUGAUUGAAAGGUUUCGACCGCCUUAGGAUGGAUCUGCGGCCUAUCAGGUUGUAGUGGGUGUAAUGUACCUACUAGCCUACGACGGGUACGGGUUGUGGAAGCAAGAGCCCGGAGAUGGAUUCUGAGACAUGAAUCCAGGCCCUACGGGGCGCAGCAGGCGCGAAAACUUUACAAUGCGGGAAACCGUGAUAAGGGAACACUGAGUGCUAGCAUUUAUGUUAGCUGUCCACAUGUGUAAAUAGCAUGUGAUAGCAAGGGCUGGGCAAGACCGGUGCCAGCCGCCGCGGUAACACCGGCAGCCCGAGUGGUGAUCACUAUUAUUGGGUCUAAAGGGUCCGUAGCCGGUUUAAUCAGUCUUCUGGGAAAUCUAAUCGCUUAACUAUUAGGCUUCCAGGGGAUACUGUUAGACUUGGGACCGGGAGAGGUAAGAGGUACUGCAGGGGUAGGAGUGAAAUCUUGUAAUCCCUGUGAGACCACCAGUGGCGAAGGCGUCUUACCAGAACGGGUCCGACGGUGAGGGACGAAAGCUGGGGGCACGAACCGGAUUAGAUACCCGGGUAGUCCCAGCUGUAAACGAUGCUCGUUAGGUGUCAGGAACGGUGCGACUGUUUCUGGUGCC